CCUACGGGAGGCAGCAGUGAGGAAUAUUGGUCAAUGGACGAGAGUCUGAACCCGCCAAGUAGCGUGAAGGAUGACUGCCCUAUGGGUUGUAAACUUCUUUUAUAAAGGAAUAAAACGAGGCACGUGUGCCUUUUUGCAUGUACUUUAUGAAUAAGGAUCGGCUAACUCCGUGCCAGCAGCCGCGGUAAUACGGAGGGUGCGAGCGUUAAUCGGAAUUACUGGGCGUAAAGCGCUCGCAGGCGGUAUGUUAAGUCAAGGGUGAAAUCCCCGCGCUCAACGUGGGAACUGCCUUUGAAACUGGCAAACUGGAGUGUGUGAGAGGAUAGUGGAAUUCCAGGUGUAGGAGUGAAAUUCGUAGAUAUCGGGAGGAACAUCAGUGGCGAAGGCGACAAGCUGGCACAUAACUGACGCUGAGGAGCGAAAGCGUGGGUAGCAAACAGGAUUAGAUACCCCUGUAGUC
Molecule: ribosomal RNA, 460 nt
Filed under: uncultured bacterium
Lineage: Bacteria
Description: partial 16S ribosomal RNA
Rfam family: Bacterial small subunit ribosomal RNA
Source: RNAcentral